UGCAAGGUGUUAGCUGAUUCCUGGUUAUCA
RNAcentral lists this non-coding RNA (30 nucleotides) under Rattus norvegicus (Norway rat). The record is from RNAcentral. Lineage: Eukaryota; Metazoa; Chordata; Mammalia; Rodentia; Muridae.